UUGCAUGAGAGCUGGGAGUGUUUGGGGGUGGUGCUAGAGCCCCAGGUGCUGCUUUUCUGUUAAGCUGACCACCUGGCUGGCUGAGUGCUCCUUACAGGGACAUGGGGUAUGGGGAUGUAUGGGGUUACAGGGAAAUAAGGUAUGGGGAUGUAUGGGGUUAGUACUUGAUGUUUAAUACCAGGCUGUGUAAGAAGAGGUCUACUGCUGAAAGAAUAAACCCCCUCCCCCCCCCCCCCCCCGCCCCCACCAAAUUUUAAACUUCCUUCUAUUAGUGUCUGUGUGGUGGAAAAAAAAAUGCUGUGGUUCAUAAUGUCCCAGUGCCUGUGAAGGCAAUCAAAUUGUCCUUAAAUAUCAGAGCUUAUGCACUUGGAAAACUUCUCCAGCAUUGGAAAUGAGCCAUCGUGGACAGUAGCAGGGGAUUCUUCUGGAAGCCCUCCAGGCAUGGGCACAGGGUCCCAGCUGGCAGAGGGGUCUUCGUGCAUCGGUGCUGCCUUUAAACAAACAACCACUGCUGUUUUGCUGAUGGCGUGUGCGGAUAGAUCUGUAGCCAGUUUGUGCCGUUUAACAGUUGAAGGAAAAUAAAAAAGGAAACAUUAAAGCUUUUUCCCACCUUGAAACCUGAAGAAAUCCGCCUGCUCCAAACCAGAGAGGCGUGCAUCACUAAUAUCCAGGGGAAAAAG
RNAcentral lists this long non-coding RNA (680 nucleotides) under Anas platyrhynchos platyrhynchos (common mallard). RNAcentral describes it as "lncRNA (ENSAPLG00000021639.1)". The record is from RNAcentral. Lineage: Eukaryota; Metazoa; Chordata; Aves; Anseriformes; Anatidae.